This 69-nucleotide transfer RNA is filed under the name Rattus norvegicus (Norway rat). It matches the Rfam family "tRNA". Rfam says of the family: Transfer RNA (tRNA) molecules are approximately 80 nucleotides in length. Their secondary structure includes four short double-helical elements and three loops (D, anti-codon, and T loops). Lineage: Eukaryota; Metazoa; Chordata; Mammalia; Rodentia; Muridae. The record is from Rfam by way of RNAcentral.
GGGGAAUUAGCUCAGUGGUAGAGCGCUUGCCUAGGAAGCUCAAGGCCCUGGGUUCGGUCCCCAGCUCCG